CGAGUGGCGGACGGGUGAGUAAUGUCUGGGAAACUGCCUGAUGGAGGGGGAUAACUACUGGAAACGGUAGCUAAUACCGCAUAACGUCGCAAGACCAAAGAGGGGGACCUUCGGGCCUCUUGCCAUCGGAUGUGCCCAGAUGGGAUUAGCUAGUAAGUGGGGUAACGGCUCACCUAGGCGACGAUCCCUAGCUGGUCUGAGAGGAUGACCGGCCACGCUGGAACUGAGACACGGUCCACACUCCUACGGGAGGCAGCGGUGGGGAAUAUUGCACAAUGGGCGCAAGCCUGAUGCAGCCAUGCCGCGUGUAUGACGAAGGCCUUCGGGUUGUAAAGUACUUUCAGCGGGGAGGAAGGGAGUAAAGUUAAUACCUUUGCUCAUUGACGUUACCCGCACAAGAAGCACCGGCUAACUCCGUGCCAGCAGCCGCGGUAAUACGGAUGGUGCACGCGUUAAUCGGAAUUACUGCGCGUACCGCGCAUGCAGGCGGUUUGUUAAGUCAGAUGUGAAAUCCC
Molecule: ribosomal RNA, 515 nt
Filed under: Escherichia coli
Lineage: Bacteria; Pseudomonadati; Pseudomonadota; Gammaproteobacteria; Enterobacterales; Enterobacteriaceae
Description: bacterial SSU rRNA
Rfam family: Bacterial small subunit ribosomal RNA
Source: RNAcentral